Long non-coding RNA from Anas platyrhynchos (mallard), 935 nucleotides. RefSeq lists it as uncharacterized. The record is from RefSeq and is a predicted model, not a curated record. NCBI's taxonomy places the organism in Eukaryota, Metazoa, Chordata, Aves, Anseriformes, Anatidae.
AGGUUUAAUUAAUUUAUAGCCACACCUUACUUCCCUGGUAUUAAUUUGCCUGCAGAUGAGUAUGGUGCCUUUAGUCUCUCAUCUACUCUGAAGGCUGUAGGAGAUGCUUUGGACUUCUACAGGACAGUCUCAGCAAGAGGACCAUGCUGAUGCUUUCUAAAUGAAAAGAAGGCAAGCUACCAUCUCUUCACACUUAAAGAGCUCCCAGGAGCAAAGGGAGAAUGAGAUAACGAGACCAAGUGCUCUUACAAUGAACCUUGGAGGACAGCAAGCCAAGAAGGAAGCAUGUCCUUUACCCAUAUCCCCAAACACUGUGAACAUCCAAGUGGAAAGUUCCACCCCAGCUGUCUGGAGACCCAGCAGCAGCAGGACUUGGACCCUUCUUUUUAACCUGUAAAUUGACACAAAUGGGCAAAUUAUGGACUCAGCAGGAGGGAUUAUGCCUGAGGCAGGCAAGAUGUAACUCACGCAGAAAAAGCAGUGAGAAGGGGAAAACUCAGUGCCUGCGCUUCUUGCCCAUUUUCUCUUUCCCAAGUCAAGAAGCAACACCUAUCUGAAAUUGUGGUUGCCUCAGCAAGGCACAAAUUCUGUGGCUGGCCAGGUCCUGCAGGCAGGGGAAGAAGCCAUGUGCUGAAUCAGCUUGCUGGAGGCCACCUGGCUCACGUGCCAGAAGGUGCCAGCUCCAAAUGUAAGGCUUUCAAGCUAGAAAAUCUCAGACACUUGACAAUGUGCUUGUAUAUACAGAAAAUGCCUGUGACAGCUAGAGUGCUAGAUAGACCUUAAUAAGAAUCGUUCCUAAACCCAAAUGUUCAGAGAUAUUAGUCCAAAGGAAGAAUCAUGUGUCUGAGAGAAGAAAAAAAAAACUAAACCAAAAAACAAGUCUUGCUGGUACUAACCCCUUCCUAUUAAAAGACGUUUGGAAACAAAGCCUGAAA